UGUUGGGUGGCGUAGUGGUUAGAAUGUUUGACUAAGACUCGGAGACCAGUGUUCAAUCCCUACUCAGCCA
This is a non-coding RNA of Phrynosoma platyrhinos (Desert horned lizard), 70 nucleotides long. The record is from the annotation of a GenBank genome assembly. Lineage: Eukaryota; Metazoa; Chordata; Lepidosauria; Squamata; Phrynosomatidae.